Molecule: ribosomal RNA, 141 nt
Filed under: uncultured bacterium
Lineage: Bacteria
Description: partial 16S ribosomal RNA
Rfam family: Bacterial small subunit ribosomal RNA
Source: RNAcentral
ACAGUGGGGAAUAUUGCACAAUGGGGGAAACCCUGAUGCAGCGACGCCGCGUGAAGGAAGAAGUAUCUCGGUAUGUAAACUUCUAUCAGCAGGGAAGAUAGUGACGGUACCUGACUAAGAAGCCCCGGCUAACUACGUGCC